UAGGGAAUCUUCCGCAAUGGACGCAAGUCUGACGGAGCAACGCCGCGUGAGUGAAGAAGGAUUUCGGUUCGUAAAACUCUGUUGUUAGAGAAGAACAGCGCAUAGAGUAACUGUUAUGCGUGUGACGGUAUCUAACCAGAAAGCCACGGCUAACUACGCGCCAGCAGCCGCGGUAAUACGUAGGUGGCAAGCGUUGUCCGGAUUUAUUGGGCGUAAAGCGAGCGCAGGCGGUCAAUUAAGUCUGAUGUGAAAGCCCCCGGCUCAACCGGGGAGGGUCAUUGGAAACUGGUUGACUUGAGUGCAGAAGAGGAGAGUGGAAUUCCAUGUGUAGCGGUGAAAUGCGUAGAUAUAUGGAGGAACACCAGUGGCGAAGGCGACUCUCUGGUCUGUAACUGACGCUGAGGCUCGAAAGCGUGGGUAGCAAACAGG
This 429-nucleotide ribosomal RNA is filed under the name Bacteroidota bacterium. RNAcentral's name for it is "Bacteroidetes bacterium partial 16S ribosomal RNA". It matches the Rfam family "Bacterial small subunit ribosomal RNA", at positions 355 to 776 of the family's 1533-position model. Lineage: Bacteria; Pseudomonadati; Bacteroidota. The record is from RNAcentral.